RNAcentral lists this ribosomal RNA (759 nucleotides) under Pseudoalteromonas sp. Its description in RNAcentral is "bacterial SSU rRNA". It matches the Rfam family "Bacterial small subunit ribosomal RNA", at positions 40 to 795 of the family's 1533-position model. The record is from RNAcentral. Lineage: Bacteria; Pseudomonadati; Pseudomonadota; Gammaproteobacteria; Alteromonadales; Pseudoalteromonadaceae.
AAGCAGGCGGAGCUACCUGCAGUCGAGCGGUAACAUAUAGUACUUGCUACUUUGCUGACGAGCGGCGGACGGGUGAGUAGUGCUUGAGAACAUGCCUUGAGGUGGGGGACAACAGUUGGAAACCACUGCUAAUACCGCAUAGUGUCUACGGACCAAGGGGGGCUUCGUCUCUCCUCUUUAUAUUGGCCCAAGUGGGAUUAUCUAUUUGGUGAGGUAGUGGCUCACCAGGGACACUAUCCCUAUGUGGUUUGAGAGGAUGAUCACCCACUCUGGGACUGACACACGGCCCACACUCCUACGGGAGGCAGCAGUGGGGAAUAUUGCACAGUGGGCGCAAGCGUGAUGCACCCGUGCCGCGUGUGUGAAGAGGGCCUUCGGGUUGUAAAGCUCUUUCACUCGAGAAGAAGGGUUAAUAGUUAAUACCUGCUAUCUGUGACGUUUCUGACAAAAAAAGCCCCGGCUAUCUCCGUGCCAGCACCCGCUGUAAUACGGAGGGUGCGAGCGUUACUCAAAAUUACUGGGCGUAAAGCGUACGCGCGGGGUGUGUUAAGCGAGAUGUGAAACCCCCGGUCUCCCCCUGGAAACUGCAUUUCAAACUGGCAAACUAGAGUGUGAUAGAGGGUGAUAAAAUUUCGUGUGUAGCGGAGAUGUGCAUAGAUAUCUGAGAGAAUACCUAUGGCAAACGCACCCACCUGUCUCAACACUGACUCUCAUGUACAAAAGCGUGGAGAGCAAACAAGAUUAUAUCCCUGGGUCACA